UACGUAGGGGGCAAGCGUUGUCCGGAUUUAUUGGGCGUAAAGAGCGUGUAGGCGGCUAGAUAGGUCCGUUGUGAAAACUCGAGGCUUAACCUCGAGAUGUCAUCGGAAACCAUCUGGCUAGAGUCCGGAAGAGGAGAAUGGAAUUCCCGGUGUAGUGGUGAAAUGCGUAGAUAUCGGGAGGAACACCAGUGGCGAAGGCGGCUUCCUGGCCUGUUCUUGACGCUGAGGCGCGAAAGCUAGGGGAGCAAACGGG
RNAcentral lists this ribosomal RNA (253 nucleotides) under uncultured bacterium. RNAcentral describes it as "partial 16S ribosomal RNA". It matches the Rfam family "Bacterial small subunit ribosomal RNA", at positions 524 to 776 of the family's 1533-position model. The record is from RNAcentral.